AGAAUCAACGCUGGCGGCGUGCCUAACACAUGCAAGUCGAACGAGAAAGUGGAGCAAUCCAUGAGUACAGUGGCGACCGGGUGAGUAACACGUGACUACCUACCCUUGAGUGGGGGAUAACCUCGGGAAACCGAGGCUAAUACCGCAUAAUAUCGAGAGAUCAAAGGAGUAAUCCGCUUUUGGAGGGGGUCGCGGCUGAUUAGCUAGUUGGUAGGGUAAUGGCCUACAAAGGCGAAGAUCGGUAGCCGGCCUGAGAGGGCGACCGGCCACACUGGGACUGAGACACGGCCCAGACUCCUACGGGAGGCAGCAGUGGGGAAUAUUGCACAAUGGGCGAAAGCCUGAUGCAGCGACGCCGCGUGAGGGAUGACUGCCUUCGGGUUGUAAACCUCUUUCAGCAGGGACGAAGCGAAAGUGACGGUACCUGCAGAAGAAGCACCGGCAACUACGCGCAGCAGCCGC
RNAcentral lists this ribosomal RNA (462 nucleotides) under uncultured bacterium. RNAcentral's name for it is "SSU rRNA". It matches the Rfam family "Bacterial small subunit ribosomal RNA", at positions 26 to 518 of the family's 1533-position model. The record is from RNAcentral.